CGUGUCUUUGGGUUAAAUUUCAAUGAAUGAAGUUGGAUGGAAACAGGCUGCAUUCUGCCGGGCCCCGGGGUGGCCGCGGGGGACAGCUCGGUGCCUGGAAGAGCUGGGCAGAGUCCUGGCUCCUGAGCCGCUUCCUCGGACCAGCCGCGGGUUCCUCUGAUACCCCAUCUUGUGUCCUGUCCAAAAUAAAUGGUGGCAGCCGAGCCGGUUCCAGUAGCCUGGGGAGUCCGUCUGCUGGUGCCACCUGAUUCCUCAGCGGGCGGCAGAGCUGCACAAUCCCUGGAUGCGGCGGCCACCAGGGCAGAUUUAUAGGCUGCAGGUGGUGGAUGCCACCUUGCCCUUCAUGCAGGAAAACAACCUACAAAGGGGGAGCGCCUCGUGCCACCUCAGGUUCCUGCCUUCCUGGACCCUUGCCAGGAAGUCGCCUGGACCUCUGAUCCUGCAGGAUGCUGCCGGUAGGACAGACUGCCACCGACUUGCUGUGUGACCUUGGGCAAGGCGCUUUCCCUCUCUGAGCUCAAUUUUCCUUGGAUGUAAACGGAGAGGGCAUCAUCCUAGUUAAUGGGUGCAUCCUGGAUGUUCUCUUAGUACCUCCAGCAGCCCUUGUGGGGUGACCACCAAUCUUAUUUUGCAGACAAGGAACUGCCAGGUAGAGGGGUAAGCACUUGUCCACGCCAUAGAGCUUAGCCAGAGCAGUCCAGUCCUUUGAUCCCAGGCUCCUUGGCCGGGUCCGCUGCAGAGUCCUUCCCAGGGUGCACCCUGGGGUGGCCACAAGCCGAGGGGAGUAGGCACUGUUCACGCAUGUCUCGUGCAAGGCAGGAACAGAGACAGACGAGGUGCCCUGGGACACACAGGUCCUGAGCAGAGUGGCAGGACUUGAACCCGAGACUUCCUGAGCCCAAAGCCCCAGUGCACCAGCCCUUGAUCACCCACCCUGACCCUCUGCCCUGGCACUUGGGCCCACUUUCUUCACAUGCUCCUCAUGCUCUGUGGCCCGCUGUGGUCCCCUGGGCUGGGUCCUCUGACCGGGUGGCCUCUCCCCUUAUCCUGUGGUCAGCUAGCUGAUGGGGCCAGCUCAGGGCUGACCUCUCCAAAAAGGCUUUUUAAAGUCAUGCUAUCCCUCCGAGAUUGUUGGAUGACAGUUGGGGUGGUCCUAGUCACCACUCCUACUGUGAAACUGUGACCCUCGUUGUGUGGUUAGGGUGAGCCAGGCCACCACUCAACGUUCACGCAGGAGGGUCACAAGUUUGAGGCCAGCCUUGGCCAACUCAGCAGCAGGACCUUAUCUCGAAAUAAAAAGGGCUUGGAGACGCACAGGGGCGGAAACGCUUCCCAAGGACAGGGCUGCCAUCGUGUGUCUGGGGGGGACCCCGUCCACCACUGUCCAUGGGGAUGGGCAGGUUGGACGUUAUCAGGGUUCAGAACCGUCAAGAGACUGCAGGCCCCUCUCCUGGAAGGUUGGCUUGUGGACCUCAGGCUCCUAGCGCCCAGCCCGGCCUUUCUGUCCCCCAGGCCAGGUCAGUGGGAAUGUCACCUCUACUCGUCCUCCUGCAAUGAAUGGCUCUUUCUGUCCAGAUAAGGAACGAUUGUGUCUGAUUAUUUGUGAAUCUCUAUGGAAACAGACAUCCCUAAAAGUACAUUGACUUAGAUUUUCCACUGGCCGAAUCUUUGGGGCUUCUGUCUGUGGUUGACACUGAGAAAGGAGGCGCCUGCCCCGUCCAGCCCUCUGCCAGACAGACAGAGAGGGAAAGGCAGCCUCCGGGCCUCGGGAGGCUGAGCUCUGGCCCAGGCCUGCUCCUCGGCUUCCCCACGACUUCGAACACGUCUCUUCCCCCCAAAUCUGCCACUGUCACAUCUCCUCCUUGUGAAUUGAGAUGGUCAAACCAAAUGAUGGCGCAGUCUCCCUUCUGCUCCAGACUUCAGUAUUCCCUAAGAGAGAACAGAGAGGUACUGCUGGUCCGACGACAGCUUCAUUGUCCACCACUGUCCCUUUGAGCUCUGUAUCCAAGGACUAUAGCCUAGACCCCGUUUUUUUGAAAGUAGAAUAACUAUUAUGACCACAAAGCCAAUAGACACUUCCCAUUUGAAGUUUCACUACUAGGCCCUUACACAUGUUAUCUCAUUUAAUCCUCACUGCCUCAUGGGGAGGUAAUUUUUUUUUUUAAUCUCUGUUUUAUAUGAGUGGACUUAGGAUCAGAGAAGUUAGGUAACUUCCCCAAGGCCACACAACAAAUAAAUGGCAGAGCUGGUAUCUAAGUGAGACUUCUUUGUUUCCAGUGAUUUCUCUGAACCACUAGAUGGUCUAUCACCAAGAAUAUGGCAAGGGCUUAGUGUGUGUGUGUGUGUGUGUGUGUUUAUUAAUGAUUGAAUACAGGGACUUGUGCAUGCUAGGCAAAUGCUCUACCACGGAGCUACAUCCCCAGCCCUUUUUAAAAAUGAUAUUUUGAGACAGGGUCUCACUAAGUUGCCCAGCUGACCUUGAACUUGUGAUCCUCCUGCCUCAGCCUCCCGGGUGGCUGGGACUAUAGGUGUGUGCCAGCGUGCCUGGCCCCCGAUAAGCAUUGGAAGAAUGUCUGAAUGAAUGGCCGGAGGGAUGGAUCCGCACAUCACUCCAAGAAGCAAAAUAGUUCUCACAUUUCCCUGUUGGUGUCUGAAUAUACGAGCUACCGGCCCUGAGCCCUCUCCUGACCAAGAGUCACCCAGCCCCAAAUGUCACUUGAGAAAAGCUGAGACCCUUGGGCUGGAGAAGACAGAGCUGUGCUCAGAGAAGGCCUCUGAGAGGUGGGAGCUAAAUGAGGGUCAUCUGAACCCAGGAAGGUAAGUCUCCACGGGGGGUUGGGGGAGGGGAAGUUCCUCCGCGCUGUGGCUGUGAACAGGCAGGUCCCCGUGAGCGACACCCAGGUGAGGUGCUGUACCUGUGGCCCAGGACCUUACGGCCUGAGUGGAUGGACGGCACAGAGAAUGCAGCUUAAUCUCUGUUUUCUUAUUGAGACACGUUUUAGCUCACUGUCACUAUUACGGCGGUUCAAGAUAUAUUGUUAAAUGUCGCACAGGGCAAAAGCAGGUUCAAAGCAGGGCCCCUUUUUUGUAAAAGAAACAUUGUCCAUGGCAUAUGAAUGUAGAGUACAGUUAGAGGGAACGUGCACAAGUAAACAUGUAUGAAAGAAAGUUCUAGAAGGAAAUGGACCAAACUGCUGACAGGAGUUAUUUGCCUCAGCAGAGUGGGAUGGGCAUGGGGAUAACAGAUGACAGAGACGGUCAUGGCCACUAAACAUCCCUCAUCUCCGUGUGGUUGGAUUGGAGUUUGGUGACUAGGCCUGGCCAUUGGGCAGUAGGCAUAUCUGUAUGUCCUUCCUGGGCCAAAAGUGGGUGGGAGCUUCCCACCUCUCUUGCGCACGCACGCGCUUCUUUUGUCAUCGUGACUCUGGAAACCAUGUGCCAAAAUGGAAGGGGGUCCCUGUUGUCCUGCAUCAGACUUUGUAUAAAUGAGAAAUGAACCUGUUAGGAGCAUUUAAGAUCUCAAGGCUGUUAAGAUCUCAAGGCUUACUUGUUAUUGCAGCUUAGCAUAUCCGUGCAGACUAAAUCUGCAAUAUGUUUGCACUUCUACACAGUGUUUUCCUAUAUGAACCAUAAUUUUUUCAAUGAAAAUUUUAUUAAGAAUUGAACUUUUGCUGAGAUGUAGAGCUUUUCCAUGCCUCUAAGAUUUCCUGAAAACACAGAUUGUUAGACUCAAAAAUGAAUCAGUUAUGAAAACUCUAGGUGUUCCAUGUCAGGAUGAUCUACAUACUUUAGGUCAAGGCCAAUAGUCAGGGAGAGCUGUGAAAUUGAAAACAGGUUUCUUUCUGUGAGACCAGGGCCAUGUAGGUUGCGGGCUACCUUUUCCCCUUUUAUUCUCUUUAUUCAGAAUGAGAUCAGUGGCCCAGACAAUAUUCACAAACAGCCCACGGUGACUUGAACCUCCUGGUUGAAACUGUCCAAAGGACAAUCCUGUUGCUGGAUGCCAGCUUCUCCUGACCACUCAGCAACCUUGGCCACAUUUGCAGAUCCAGAAAGAGAUGCGGUGGUCGCUGCUCAAGAUCCUCCUGGACAUUUCCAGCCCCGGUCCCCGGCCGUGGUCUCAGGGUGAGUCUGUCCACUAUCGACUAGGCUGUGUGGGGAGAGACACGGGCAGGAGGCAGCCGGUCCUCAGUCUCCUUCCUCUGGGAGAAGCCGCCUUUCAGUGGUGAGACUUUUUAAAAACUCCGGUUCUUGGUAACAUAAACCUGCCCUUGAUCCGGCACCAGAAGACCCUCUUGCAUGCAGGAUGCCAGGGUGCCGCCGCUGUGGUCACUUCUUUUCCUUUCUUCCAAAAUACAGAAACUUGAUCUACCAGCUAAGUUGAAGUCCAACUGGUCUAACAGGAAUUUGCACAAAUGCCCGUUUGUCCUUCUGGAUGAAAAGAGGGUAGGGAAGUCAAGCUGAUCACGGGGCCUGCUCUCCUGCCAGGCCCCGGGCACACGUUUCUGCAUUUAAACAUCAUGAAGACCCUACUGGGCGGGUAUCACUGUUUCCCAUUUCACAGAGAAAAAAAAACAGGCCCCGGAGAAAUCACGUGAUUUGGACAAUUUUGAAGAGACAGAGCUGGGAUUCGUAUCCAAAUCUCUUUGACUUGAAAGUUCCUGUUCAGAAAAGAAGACUUUAGUGGGAAAAUGGGUCAAACCAAAAUAGGAUUUGUCAUUGAGUUAAAGAGUCAGGAACUAGGGUUAGCUUCUGGUUUUCAUCCUUGUAUAAAUUUCGCGGGCUGUAACUACGGCAUGUCAAAGAAAGCUGGCAAAGGGUGAAUGGGACCGCUGUCCUAUUUGGACACGUUUCUGGUAACUCUAAAAUGAUUUCGAAAUAAAAACUUUCACCAGAUGCCAUGGUGCAUGGCACACGCCCAUCAUCCCAGUGGCUCUGGAGGCUGAGGCAGGAGGAUCUCGAUUUCAAAGCCAGCCUCAGCAAAAGCCAGGCCCUAAGCACCUCAGCGAGACCCUGUCUCUAAAUAAAACACAAAAUAGGGCUGGGGAUGGGGCUCAGGGGUCAAGCGCCCCUGAGUUCAAUCCCUGGUUACCCCCUGCCAAAAAAAAAUGUUUCUAUGGACUUUGGAUGAUAAUGGUGGGUCUCUGGAGGUUUACCCCUGGUAACAGGUGCCACUCUGGUAGGGGACCCUGCUCAUGAAGGAGGCUGGGCAUGUAUGGGGACAGAGGGGAGUGGGGGGAAAUCCCUGCACCUUCUGCUUUAUUUUGAUGUGAAACCCUAAAAAAUGAAGCCUAAAACUACUCCAAGGAAGAAAGUCUUUCAUUUUCUCAAAUUGAAUUCUUUUAAUUCUUCCUACACGUUGAGUGUCCAGAUUAACGGGCUUCCCUGUGACCUUUCCAUAGAUACACAUAUGACCACGCUCCCUUCGACCCGCUCCUGCUCUCGUAAAAAAGAAAAGGUAAAUAAAUUUGAUUGUCACA
This 5477-nucleotide long non-coding RNA is filed under the name Marmota monax (woodchuck). Lineage: Eukaryota; Metazoa; Chordata; Mammalia; Rodentia; Sciuridae. The record is from RNAcentral.